AUAAGUCAAUGUAAACGCAUAACGUUAUUUUAUUCACAUAUACAAAGUGGUAUGACAAAAAAGCACGAUGCCAAAUCGGGUUUUUUUCUGUUAGUUGCGAAUGUAUUCGUUAUAGUAGUUAAUUUGCUAGUCCACGGAUGUUCCCGCCGAAAUUGGACUUCGUUAUUAUGAAUAUUAAUAAAUUAAUAUGAGGUGUGUUUUUAUCAACUUAACCACUUGGUUGUUUUUGCUUCAGAAAAGCAACUAGUUAUAAAUGUAAGCGCUUUUUUGGACAACUUCGGUGAAAAAGUGUUGAUUUCGUAGUUCAGUCAGCGUAACUUAUAUCCGAGAGGUCUUACAGGCGCCACAGACACCUAUCAGCCUUUUGUAAGGAGGAGCAGCUCGAGUGCGGUGCGGUCAGUAGCCCUUCAAAUUAGAAAAGUGAGGAUGAUCUUGUCAAUGCUGAGAUUUUCAUGCAUCAACAGCCACUACAUCUGGAUCAGAUUGAACAAGAAACAGACAGCAAGGGUUGUCAGGUCAGAAACAGAAUGACACACAAACACAAGAAACUUCACAGGCAGAUCAACAUGCAAUUUGAAGAUGUGUGAUAAAAUACAGAGAGGUGAAGUAGUGUGUCUUUCCAGAUGCCCAAAUCAUUCCCCCUUAAAAGAUGAGCCUGAAGAGGAGAUUUGGGAAGAUGCUGUUUCAUAAGUCGCUUUGCCAGAUCACCUGUGGUCGGGAUGUCUGCUAACAAGAUGCCUUGCUGGUCUGAGCGAGUUUAAAGUCUUACACAGACAGUCCAGAAGUUCUGAAGUCCAUCUUCGAUUUCAUUGGACGAUUUAAGGUGUAGAAACAUCUCAGCAACCUCAAGAGAAAUUGGAGGCAACUGAGCUAAAUUGCAGAUGUUGUUUCAAAGGGUCUGAAUAUGUAUAAUGUAAAUAUGAUGUGUUUUCUUUUUUCAUACAUUUGCAAAAGUUUCUAAAAUUCUGUUUUUACUUUGUAAAAAUAUCUAAACAAUUACAGUAUCAUGCAACAACAUAAAAUUGAAAGUGAAAGGUGUAUGAUUUCUGAAUGCACUGUAGAUGAUCUUAAUUGAACCUCAUUGUCAUCAUCGUAAACACAACAGCUUUGUUCUUUCAUCAGAUGGCUAUGCAAUGUUUCAAGUCAGACUAUCAAAGAAAACGCAUCUUGCCCUGAUGUGCAAUAACAAGAUUUUUUUGUAC
Paramisgurnus dabryanus is the source of this 1202-nucleotide long non-coding RNA. RefSeq lists it as uncharacterized. The record is from RefSeq and is a predicted model, not a curated record. Lineage: Eukaryota; Metazoa; Chordata; Actinopteri; Cypriniformes; Cobitidae.